Myotis daubentonii (Daubenton's bat) is the source of this 2521-nucleotide long non-coding RNA. RefSeq lists it as uncharacterized. NCBI's taxonomy places the organism in Eukaryota, Metazoa, Chordata, Mammalia, Chiroptera, Vespertilionidae. The record is from RefSeq and is a predicted model, not a curated record. The transcript has 2 exons.
UUGAUUUUUUACAGAGAGGAAGGGAGAGAGAGAGAGAGUUAGAAACAUCAAUGAAAGAGAAACAUCGAUCAGCUGCCUCCUGCACAUCUCUUACUGGGGAUGUGCCCGCAACCCAGGUACAUGCCCUUGACCGGAAUCGAACCUGGGACCUUUCAGUCCACAGACCGACGCUCUAUCCACUGAGCCAAACCGGUUUCGGCGGGGCUAUAUUAUUUAAAAUAAAAUGUAUUUUUUAUCAUUGAUAGUAUUACAGAUGUCUCCCAUUUUCGCCUGCGCAUAUAUUCCUUGGGGGAUCUCUCCCAGUCCUCCCCACAACCCUCUCCUGGGAGAUCUGCCCCUCUGUUCCAGUUAACCAGGCCUCUAGUCCCAUCUUCUCUUUCCCAGGGCCACUUGCUGAGCCACAUUACCUUUAUUCACCAAUGUCAUUGGCUGGGAUGCUAGUACCCCCCCCCCCCCUUGGCAUUUGGGAAAACUACAUUACCCAGGAAGAAAUGCGCCGACAUGGGCGGAGCUACAGAGCACCUUUGGUGUCAGUGAAUCUGGUUAGGGCGGGACUUCCGCCUUUCUCCUCCUGGCCCGCAUUUUGACCUCUUCAGUUUGUUUAAGGACUCACAGUCUUCAGCCCACGGGUUGUGAGUAGGAAGAGGCCUAGUAGGCAGCGUCCUUGCUGUGCGGGGUGUGUCUGAGGCUUGUUGACCGCCAACAGGCCAGGAUUGGGAACUCCGUGCCUCCCAAACUCCUCUCUGCUUAAGCUUUCUCUCAGCCUGACCCCAUUUAACCCUCCAGCCUUGGGGACUGGCACCUCUCAGUUACUGCAGCCCAGGAAGCCGCAUCCAGAACAAGGAAGAACAGACUAGAAGUCAGAGGACAGCAGCUGUGGACAGGAAGGGGAAGUCCUGUAAAUGAUAAGGGAGCUGGCAGAGUGAGCCCUGAGGACUGAGCCCUGAGGUAACACAGGCAUCUGGAGGGCACCUGGCCUCUGGGCUGGGCAAGGGUAUUGCACAUUCUGAGCCCAUAGAUCCUGGUGGUUGACAGGCUCUCAACAGACCAUUUUCUUUCCACAAAUUCCCGCAAAUGCAGAAGGAAUUAGGUGUACCGGCUCAUGAAUAUUAUUUCAGGGCCUCACACUCUUGGGGCCUCAGCGAGAGUGUUGUCCUGGCACUGUCCAGCCCCUCUUGUAGCCCCUGGACCUGGGUACUUUGAACAGACACCAAGCCCAGAAUCCUAAGGCCACGAGUAGGGCUUCGGGAAGUGAACCUUCUUCCUGGCAACCAGUGUGAUGAUUGGGAGGUCAUCCAGGGCAGUGGUUGCCAACCAAUUGUCCGUGGACGACUGGUGCUCCGUGAGGUCCGAAAGGUUGACAACCUCUUCUCCAGGGCAUAAUUUCCAGAAUGUGAAAAGGCUUUGGUUGAAGAGUGAGCUGAUUCAAGAACCAGCAGGUAUGUUUUUUACAUGUAUACAACCCAGGAUGUGACCUCACCAGUGCAUGGGUCUCCACUCAACCAACUGACACACAUGAGCCAGGGCUGUAGAUCACUUUCAUACAACGAAUCAUGGUGAGGUUGGUAAUGGUAGUAGUAGCUCAGAAGGACAGUGUACGACUGAGGACUGGCUUUCCUGCUGGGGCCACUGUAGGAGGUGGGUGUCACAACACAGCAGAGGGAGAGAGGUUGUCAUGUAGAUUUUGGGGAGAGGUAAUCAUUUUGUAGUGGUCAAGGCCUUUAAAUGAUGAAUGGACCUGAGAUUAACUGGAGGUUAAAGAAUUACUCAAAACAAGAUGAGACUAGGGCUGGUACAUAUUAACUUCUCUAAACACUCACCAGGAUUUUUAUGACCCUUGGUGUGGCCUGGCUUUGGGAAUAUGCAGUCAAUCUUGUGGAUUAGUUUAGAGGCUUGAGUGGUCCUCUGUGAGACUCACUGGGCAUGAUGCAGAGGGCCAUCGGGGCUGGGACUUGAGUGGCGGUUAAAUGAGAGAUGUUGGCAAGCAUUCUCUGGACAAGACAUGCCGAGUAAUAACUCAGAGGCCAAGGAGAGGACUAUGGGGGCUGGGGCUGAGGGAGUGCAGGUGUGAGCCAGGUGUGGAAAAGAGAGAUAUGCACUUGAAGAGGGAAUGUGAAUUGAUGGCCACAGCACCCUGAUACUGACAGAAGAGUGAAUGAUGGAGAGUCUAUUUCUGGUGGUGUCUGGAUGAUCCAAUAAGGUGAAUUUUAGGGUAAUUCCCUGUAAGGAGGGGUGUUUUGGUGUUACAUUCAAGGUACAGAGCUUAGGUGCCAUUUAACUGACCACCUGCUUUUUGUUGUGGAUGACACACUGGUCAAUAGGAGUGAGAUAGCAUGCAUCAGUGUUACCCAGGCUUCAAAAUCUCCACUGGAAUGGGUCAGGGAGAAGGGUAAGGGGUAAGACAUUAUGGACAUGGUGGACUAUAAUUUUGGGGGGAAGAAGUGAUUAGGAAACAAUUUGUCCUCACCACAGCAAAUUUGCAUUACCUUUGCAGUUGUGCUUCUGGGAGUGAAGCUGUGUG